This 371-nucleotide ribosomal RNA is filed under the name Escherichia coli. RNAcentral's name for it is "partial 23S ribosomal RNA". It matches the Rfam family "Bacterial large subunit ribosomal RNA", at positions 1 to 400 of the family's 2925-position model. Lineage: Bacteria; Pseudomonadati; Pseudomonadota; Gammaproteobacteria; Enterobacterales; Enterobacteriaceae. The record is from RNAcentral.
GGGUUGUGAGGUUAAGCGACUAAGCGUACACGGUGGAUGCCCUGGCAGUCAGAGGCGAUGAAGGACGUGCUAAUCUGCGAUAAGCGUCGGUGAGGUGAUAUGAACCGUUAUAACCGGCGAUUUCCGAAUGGGGAAACCCAGUGUGWUUCGUCACACUAUCAUUAACUGAAUCCAUAGGUUAAUGAGGCGAACCGGGGGAACUGAAACAUCUAAGUACCCCGAGGAAAAGAAAUCAACCGAGAUUCCCCCAGUAGCGGCGAGCGAACGGGGAGGAGCCAGAGCCUGAAUCAGUGUGUGUGUUAGUGGAAGCGUCUGGAAAGGCGCGCGAUACAGGGUGACAGCCCCGUACACAAAAAUGCACAUAUUGUGAG